GUAAGUUUUCUGCCAACUGGUUCAUCAAUGCUAGAGGGGUUUAGAAAAUUGAAUAAGAGAUAGAAAGCGCAUGGAUUUGUUUUUCUCAGAAAGAACAAAAAUCAAGAAACUCAUACACUGGUAUUUUCAGCGCUGUCGCGUACAAGAUCUCCCUGGACACUCGUAGAAGUUGAACAUGCGAAUAUGCGCGUAAAUUUGAGGUGUUGAGAUUGUAGGUGAAGAGACACGUGGCUAGAUACAAACUCUGCAUACUCACUUGGUGAGCUCAGUUGAUGUUUCCUAGCAGUAGCCGAAUAUCUUCAGCUUAUGUUAUUUUCCAUGGCAUAUUAUUUAUUCUCGGGGAAUGCCCCAAAGUUUAUGUAUUCCAAUUUAAUCUUUAGAGGCUCAUGAUUGUUUGAUGGGUUAUGGUUCACAA
Long non-coding RNA from Nicotiana tabacum (common tobacco), 415 nucleotides. RefSeq lists it as uncharacterized. NCBI's taxonomy places the organism in Eukaryota, Viridiplantae, Streptophyta, Magnoliopsida, Solanales, Solanaceae. The record is from RefSeq and is a predicted model, not a curated record.